RNAcentral lists this ribosomal RNA (249 nucleotides) under uncultured bacterium. RNAcentral describes it as "partial 16S ribosomal RNA". It matches the Rfam family "Bacterial small subunit ribosomal RNA", at positions 524 to 776 of the family's 1533-position model. The record is from RNAcentral.
UACGGGGGGAGCAAGCGUUGUUCGGAUUACUGGGCGUAAAGGCGCGUAGGCGGUCAGCACAAGUCAGUUGUGAAAUCUCCGGGCUUAACUCGGAAAGGUCAACUGAUACUGUGCGACUAGAGUGCAGAAGGGCAACUGGAAUUCUCGGUGUAGCGGUGAAAUGCGUAGAUAUCGAGAGGAACACCUGCGGCGAAGGCGGGUUGCUGGCUGACACUGACGCUGAUGCGCGAAAGCCAGGGAGCGAACGGG